RNAcentral lists this small nuclear RNA (169 nucleotides) under Rhinolophus ferrumequinum (greater horseshoe bat). Its description in RNAcentral is "U2 spliceosomal RNA (ENSRFEG00010011543.1)". It matches the Rfam family "U2 spliceosomal RNA". From Rfam's summary of the family: U2 is a small nuclear RNA (snRNA) component of the spliceosome (involved in pre-mRNA splicing). Complementary binding between U2 snRNA (in an area lying towards the 5' end but 3' to hairpin I) and the branchpoint sequence (BPS) of the intron results the bulging out of an unpaired adenosine, on the BPS, which initiates a nucleophilic attack at the intronic 5' splice site, thus starting the first of two transesterification reactions that mediate splicing. The record is from Rfam by way of RNAcentral. Lineage: Eukaryota; Metazoa; Chordata; Mammalia; Chiroptera; Rhinolophidae.
AUCGCUUCUCGGCCUUUUUUGGCUAAGAUCAAGUGUAGUAUUUGUUCUUACCAGUUUAAAUAGCAAUUAUUGAACACUAUCUCUAUACCAAGCGCUGUGCCAAGUGCUUUACAUGUUUUGUUUUCAAUAUAUUUUUUCAAAAUAGUUCAGUGAUGUCUAAGGACUACUA